This is a non-coding RNA of Coffea arabica (coffee), 496 nucleotides long. NCBI's taxonomy places the organism in Eukaryota, Viridiplantae, Streptophyta, Magnoliopsida, Gentianales, Rubiaceae. The record is from RefSeq and is a predicted model, not a curated record.
GUAAAGCUCCCACUAUUUAGGUGAUAUCCCAUUCUCCCAUUUAUGUCUCAUCUCCAUAUCAGUGGGCCAAGAAUUCACAAAGCUGCAUACAAAGGCUGUUAGUUGAUCUAUGAAGUCCCUCCAAUCCUCUAAGCGCGUUAAUGCCUCGCCGAAAGGCCUCGGCUACGUGGGGACACCACAACAGGUUAUUAAAGCAGCCUAGGACUUCCUCGCCGAAUUAAUAUAUGAGAAUUCUGAAUUCAAUACCAACGAAAGGUUGGCAACUUUGAUAUAUAUAUAUUGCCCAAGAAGAAGAAAGUGUCGGAUAUUACGAGAUGAAAUUGUUAUUUGAUAAUGGUUCUAUUUUGACAUGGAAGACUUGGGCUUUUGUUGUUAGGACUCGUCUCUAUUGCUUGGAUUACUAUUUUUAAGAGAUAUAUUUUCGAAUAAUUUUUUUUUUUUUUUGUGAUAACUAACAAUCCAAACAUGAUGACAUAAUUGGUACAUGAUUGCAACA